Molecule: ribosomal RNA, 518 nt
Filed under: uncultured Acidobacteriota bacterium
Lineage: Bacteria; Pseudomonadati; Acidobacteriota
Description: bacterial SSU rRNA
Rfam family: Bacterial small subunit ribosomal RNA
Source: RNAcentral
UGGGGAAUUGUUCGCAAUGGGCGCAAGCCUGACGACGCAACGCCGCGUGGAGGAUGAAGGUCUUCGGAUUGUAAACUCCUGUUGCCCGGGACGAAACGCUCCGACCUAACACGUCGGAGUCUGACGGUACCGGGUGAGGAAGCCCCGGCUAACUCUGUGCCAGCAGCCGCGGUAAUACAGAGGGGGCUAGCGUUGUUCGGAAUUACUGGGCGUAAAGGGCGCGUAGGUGGCCUGUUAAGUCGAACGUGAAAUCCCCGGGCUCAACCCGGGAACUGCGUCCGAGACUGGCAGGCUCGAAUCCGGGAGAGGGAUGUGGAAUUCCAGGUGUAGCGGUGAAAUGCGUAGAUAUCUGGAGGAACACCGGUGGCGAAGGCGGCAUCCUGGACCGGUAUUGACGCUGAGGCGCGAAAGCCAGGGGAGCGAAACGGGAUUAGAUACCCCGGUAGUCCUGGCCCUAAACGAUGAGUGCUUGGUGUGGCGGGUAUCGAUCCCUGCCGUGCCGAAGCUAACGCAUUAAG